This 295-nucleotide ribosomal RNA is filed under the name Actinomycetota bacterium. RNAcentral's name for it is "partial 23S ribosomal RNA". It matches the Rfam family "Bacterial large subunit ribosomal RNA", at positions 2632 to 2925 of the family's 2925-position model. Lineage: Bacteria; Bacillati; Actinomycetota. The record is from RNAcentral.
CGGUCCCUAUCCGGUGUAGCCGUAGGAAACUUGAGGAAGGCUGUCCCUAGUACGAGAGGACCGGGACGGACGCAGCUCUCGUGUGCCAGUUGUCCUGCCAAGGGCACGGCUGGUUAGCGACCUGCGGAAGAGAUAAGCGCUGAAAGCAUCUAAGUGCGAAGCUUGUUCCAAGAUGAGGUUUCCCACUGGGUCAACCAGGUAAGGCCCGUGGUAGACGACCACGUUGAUAGGCCGGAGGUGUAAGCGCAGCAAUGCGUUGAGCCGACCGGUACUAAUCGGCCGAGGGCUUGGUUCU